GGGAAGGUAGCUCAGUGGUAGAGUGCUUGCCUUGCAUGCAUGAGGCACUGGGUUCAUUUCCU
This 62-nucleotide transfer RNA is filed under the name Dipodomys ordii (Ord's kangaroo rat). It matches the Rfam family "tRNA", at positions 1 to 61 of the family's 71-position model. Rfam says of the family: Transfer RNA (tRNA) molecules are approximately 80 nucleotides in length. Their secondary structure includes four short double-helical elements and three loops (D, anti-codon, and T loops). The record is from Rfam by way of RNAcentral. Lineage: Eukaryota; Metazoa; Chordata; Mammalia; Rodentia; Heteromyidae.